This is a long non-coding RNA of Pantherophis guttatus, 367 nucleotides long. RefSeq lists it as uncharacterized. Lineage: Eukaryota; Metazoa; Chordata; Lepidosauria; Squamata; Colubridae. The record is from RefSeq and is a predicted model, not a curated record.
AGGGUUUGGUGAGGUAGGCAGAUUUACUUUUAACUUAAUAUUGAAUGGACAAGGAUUUUUUUUUCUUAAACUAGUCUUCUAAUGACCUUCUUUUUAAUCCAGAGGGUCCUUUGGAUGGGCCAAUGCCACCAAUUCAGAGAGGAAGAAAGGACAGAUGACAACAAUCUUGUGACACAAGCUGGGCUUAGAGACAGCAACUUGCUCGAAGUCACUGUGGGAUUCCAUGGCUGAGGGACUCCCUCAUGCCAGCCUAACAUUUAAAGUGCUACCACUCAAGCAGCCGAGAUAUAUCGCAUAAAUACCUUCUUCCCCACGGAACUCAAGCCAUGUGAUCCUGUCCACAAUUAAACCAUCUUUCCAAGCAGUC